Molecule: ribosomal RNA, 421 nt
Filed under: uncultured eukaryote
Lineage: Eukaryota
Description: SSU rRNA
Rfam family: Eukaryotic small subunit ribosomal RNA
Source: RNAcentral
CAAUAGCGUAUAUUAAAGUUGUUGCGGUUAAAAGCUCGUAGUUGGAUUUCUGCCGAGGACGACCGGUCCGCCCUCUGGGUGAGUAUCUGGUUCGGCCUGGGCAUCUUCUUGGAGAACGUAUCUGCACUUGACUGUGUGGUGCGGUAUCCAGGACUUUUACUUUGAGGAAAUUAGAGUGUUUCAAGCAGGCACACGCCUUGAAUACAUUAGCAUGGAAUAAUAAGAUAGGACCUUGGUUCUAUUUUGUUGGUUUCUAGAGCUGAGGUAAUGAUUAAUAGGGAUAGUUGGGGGCAUUCGUAUUUAACUGUCAGAGGUGAAAUUCUUGGAUCGGCGGAAGACGAACUACUGCGAAAGCAUUCGCCAAGAAUGUUUUCUUUAAUCAAGAGCGAAAGUCAGAGGUUCGAAGACGAUCAGAUACCAU